This 103-nucleotide transfer RNA is filed under the name Nanobdellota archaeon. RNAcentral describes it as "tRNA-Met". It matches the Rfam family "tRNA". Rfam says of the family: Transfer RNA (tRNA) molecules are approximately 80 nucleotides in length. Lineage: Archaea; Nanobdellati; Nanobdellota. The record is from RNAcentral.
GCCGAUGUGGUUCAGUGGUUAAGCCUUUUUUAGAAAAGAAGGUUCCAUACAGAACGCCAGACUCAUAAUCUGGAGGUCGCGGGUUCAAUCCCCGCCAUCGGCA